ACUACCAGCAAAGGUCCUCCAUAGAUGCAGAACACGUACACAAGUCCUUUUGCUGCUACAAGACAGUAGAGACUGUAAAUCAUAGCUAAAAUUCCAGCAUCAGAAAUGAAAAUUUGGAGCCUCUCGCGGUCUGAGUAGAUGGGGCCAUAAGGAUCAAAGUGGCAAGCAAAUCUAUCAUAAGGCCUACCGGAUACAUUGAAUGCCAGGUACAAAGGCCAGCCAAGGGUGAGGGUGACAGUAAGUGUUAUGACUCGGCCAAGUGGGUUGUUAAGGUACUUGGCAUACCAACCAAUGGCGGUUUUUUGCUUGGGGACAAAUACUUCAUCACGAUCAAGGGAUCCUGUAUUGGAGUGAUGGCGGCGAUGGCUAUACUUCCAAGAGAAGUAGGGGACAAGGAGGCAAGAGUGGAGGAUAAGGCCAACAGUGUCGUCAAGCCAUUGAUAGUCACUGAAGGCAUGGUGGCCACAUUCAUGAGCUACAACCCAAACUCCAGUUAAAAUGCAGCCUUGAAGAGCCCAGUAAACUGGCCAGGCCAGAUAAGAGAGAGGGUGAGGAAGUUGGUGAAUGUAAGUGUCGGCAAUGUAGUAAAAGACAAAGGCAAUGGUGAGGUCAUGAACAACGUAGGAGAAUGAACGGAGAACAGACCGCUCAAAACAGUGAGGUGGGAUAGCUUUCUUUACUUGGCUGAGUGUGAAUGGUGGCUUUGAGCAUGGAACUCGCUUCAAGGGAUCAGAAUCCACCUUCAUGGGCGUUGAAGGUACAGCCAUUCGUCCACCUGCACCCAUUGUUCGUCAACCUGGCCACAGUAUACAAGUAUACAAUCAACUUCAAGCAAACAGCUGUUUGUAAAUAACGCUACACAGAAAAAAUCAAAAGCAGAAAUUAAGGCGCCCACUUUAAAGACCAGAUUAUGGCCAACCAAAGGCCUAGUUCAACUAAAAAAUAACCUUAAUAUUAAUUUAAUUAUUUUUCCUUUCUAAUUUGUCAUCAAAUUCUGAGUCCAACUGAGACUACUUUCAUAAAUUAAAAGGUGCCAAAUUUCUUACAGAAAAAAAAGGUAAGGGAAAUUAUUUAUAUGACUAAUAAAGAGAGAGGAUUUAAAAAAAAAAAAACUGAACAAAAGUAAUUAUGAGAAGCAUAGAACUGUAAAGCAACAAAUGCUUUGUUGAAAUUGCUAGUACCCAAGAUACAAUCUACUACUGUAUUAUAAAGCUAGUAAUUCCAAAUGUUAGUCACUGGUAUUACUCUAUCAUCCACAAUGGUGACAAGUUAAUUGUCAAAUAAAUGAUCCCAUAGCAAAUUUCCCAUGAGGAAAACGACCAUACUUUAAUUGAUUAGCGUUAACUAUUAGAACUCGUUUGGUAUGCAAGAUAAGCUUAACAAAAAUAUCUUGGAAGCUUAAAAUGGUAGUCACAAUUGUAUUAUCACACCACCACCCAAUAAAAUUUUGUCACACAUACACAAUGCACUAAUGAUAUAUUUAUUAUAAAUAAGUUAAUAAAUACAUUAUGCAUAUGUAUGGCAAAACAUCAUUGGGUGGUAGUAUGGGGACAUAAGAGUGAUGACACCAACAAAGACUUUUUCGAAAGACAAAUUAUUGUGAAUUUCGUUGGGGGAUAGAGAUCCUCUCCUAGUUCUUUUUUUUUUUAUUCUCCUCAUAGCUCUCUUAGUUUAAUGAGUGGCUAAAAUUGAGUUUUUAAUUUUGGUGUUGAUAAUCAAGUCAGUUUUUUUCACUAAAUUUAAAAAACUUAAAAGAGACUAAGCGAGAAUAAAAUUAAGACAGGAUCCUAAUUCCUUAUUGGGACACAGAUCCAGGGUUCAAAUCUCCAAUUUUGGAGCCACUUAAUUUAUUGUUUAGCAAUUUUCCAUUGAAUAUUUUUUAAAGCAUGCAUCAAAAUUUCACAACUAAUACUUAUUACUUAUUAUUUACAAUAAAAUAAUUAAAUUACAAUAAGAGAUGCAUUCUGUAAUAGGAAUUAUAAUAACUUGACGAUGAAAAGGGGGCCACGCUUGAAUUUUUCUUUUUUCUUUUUAAUCAACAUCUAAUGAUGCAAUUUCCACACGUGGACAGUUACAACAAAGCAAUGAAAUUUCAAAUUAUGGACAAGUAAAGAUGCAUAAUUAUUUACAAAUAAAUUUAUGAUUAUUCCUCAAUUAUAAUGUAAAGACGUCAAAACACUUGUAGUGAUUAGACUAGAGACUCACUACAAGGCUUCAAAAACAGAGAUUUGAAGUUAAUUCAGCGGCCCACUUCAAGAUCAGAUUAGACAAACCGAAGACCCACAUUGACCUACAAUUAUAUUUUAUAGGAAUGUUCGCAGAUCAAAUUUUGUAGUUUGCAUAUUAAUUCAUAUCUGAUUCACUAUUUUACGGAUUAUAAAUUUUUUAAUCUAAUCUAAUCUACGGAUUGGUGAAAUUAACUUCAAAUUCAAUCCAUACAUCUAUGGAUUAGAUGUGGAUUUGACCUAAUUUAUAUCCAAUCCACUAUUUUGUGAAUUGGUUUGCAGGCUAAAAUUUUUUACUUCCAUACUAUCCACAAACUAACUAAAUAAAAAAAUUAAUAUAAAAAUAAUUUUCCUACCGAUCAAAUUCAAGAUUAAAUAAGAUUUAAAUAAAUUAGUUACUUAAAUAUAACUAGAAAAUACAUUUAAAGUUUAAAAUAUAACACAUCAAAAAGAAAAAUAUCUCAUUUAUUUAAAUCAGUAUAUGAAAAUUAACUGCUUAGGAAGUUAUAUUUGUUUAUUUAAUUAUUUUUAUUUUAUAUUAUUAUCGAAUAAGAUAUAAUGUGGUAUUAAUGUAACUAUAUUCUAUAAUAUGGUAUUAAUGUAACUAUAUUCUAACCAUUUAUUUAUUAGUAAGUUCUGAUGCCAUAUUUAGAAGUUUUAAGUUUUUUAAUUAUAUCUACAGAUUCGCAGAUUUUUACAUAUCUACUGUAAAUUUUUAAAAUUUCAAUCAAAUUCAAUCUAAUUUACGAAUCAGAUUUUUACAAAUCAAACCAAUUGAACAAAUCGGAUCGAAUUGGAAUCUAAACACCUUUAAUAUUUUAUAUUUUUCCUUUCCGAGUUGUCAGUUCACAUGACAGUAUGACACGGUCCAUCACUUUCAUAAACCAAAAAAGUGCUAACUGUUUAAAGCUAAUAAAAAUGAUAUCAAUAAGUUGUGAAAACCAAGGCUGACCAAAGACAUGUAAUCACGUGACCCAUAGAAGUUUAGCAAAGAUUAGAAAACAAGUAGUUGACACUGAAAUUGCCACGGCCCCACCAUGCCACCAUCUGCUAAUGACAGCUAUUGUAUUAUAUAAUUAUAAGUAGCCACUAGCCACUGAAAUCACUCAGCAUCAGGUGAGACUGAUCAGUGAUGUCCAAAAAAUGGUGUAUACGCGUAAAGCGCACUCAUACCAUUCGUGUGGUAGCUUUUAUAUCAUCAUCCUUGCCCUUUAUGGUCGGUCAGCCGAGCUUUUGGAAAACGAUGUGCAAUAAAAAAAAAAUAUCAGCACAUUCAAUGGAGCUUAUUAAUCGGAAUUGUACUGUUUAAGUUAAAAAUAUAUACAUUUAUAAAGUACACAACAAAUUCUAUUAGUCAGAUUUUAUUAGAAGUCUAAAAUCAAAUAUUUGCAGUACAUUUUAAAAAACUGACUACUAACUUAAAAAAUUUGCUUCCAUAAAUAUUAGGGUAAUGAUACUUUACAUCCAAAAUUUCCCCAUGAGAGAAAUCGAAUCCUAUUAGGGGAGGGUGUGAGUUCACCAUUUGACAACUAAGCCCAAUAGCCAUCAAGGGAUCCUAUUAACGAAAUGAAAGCCUACCUUACAAUAACCAUAAGAAAUCUUCUUGUUCUUCGUUUAUUUAUUUUGAUGAAUCUUGUUCUUCUUGAUCACAAGUUUUUAUCAAAUUCUUACGCGACCUAAACUCUACAAUAAGAGUCAAAAUGAAAAGGAAACUCUUCCGAACACAUUUCAAAAAGUCAUACUUAAUUAUUAAACAUAACGCUGAAAAUUCGUGUAUAACUAUGCAGAAGAUAUAAUCGUGCAAUGAACCAAGCCAGCUUCCACAAAAACUCUGGGCCAUCGUAUUUAAUUAGUGCCGAUUUAUUGGAAAAACAAGGUCUACUCUGAAUGCAACUUUAGACGAAGACUCAAAAGAAGCCGUCUCAAAUUAUAAACGUAUAGGUUUAUCAAGUGAUCAAACAGAGUCUACAUCAGCCGAUAACGUGGAAUUAGAGCAUAAAUACCAGUAUUAUAUGAUAUUAGCCUAAUUAAUACCUCUUAAUCAAAUUCAAAGUCCAAAAUUUUGACAAUUAUUAUUGUUAUUAUUUUCACACGAUUUUGAAGGGACUCAGACCUAAAUAAAGGAAAAAGGUAUCAAGCAACUCAAAAAAUUGUAAUUUUGUGACGAUUAAAGUCACUCGUUCCUAGCAAGCUAAACUAUAAUUACUACCUGAAGAAAUUCUCUGUUUUCAGACUUACUAAGUAAUAAUAGGUAAGAUACAACUAACUUAUAAUUGACAUAAAGUUUGAACAAUUAUAACCAAAACUUUAAAUUAACAAAUUCAUGAUGGAAAAAAAUUAAGCAUACAAUUCAAAAGCAUGCCACAGACUUGGACCAGAUAUUUUUGUGGAAUAAAAGAACAACUUGCUUUUUAACAUGUUUGGCCUACUUGGAGUUGCAACUUGCUUCUAAUUUUUUAUUAUAAAAGUAUCAUGAGGAAAAGAGUUGAAAUUAUUUAUUUAUUUGAUUAUUAUUAAUUCUUUUUGAAGUGCUUAUGAGAAGACGAAACAGGACAGACAACAAGAUGGGAUUCUUUGCAAACACCGAGGAGUGACAAGAGUCGCUUCUACAUCCUAGUGAGUAGUGGGUGCAUGUACAUGAUUCCUGAAAUUUAAUACUAUACAGACCGAUUUUAUAACAAACGAAGACUAUAAUAAUAAUAUUUAAUAAAAUAAAAUACGAAUAAUUCUUUUAAAAUACCAUCAUAAAAAUUGACAUUAAAGACUGGCCGCCGCCCGUCAGAGCUCAACAUAAAUAAUAAUAAAAAGUAUGAAAACUGACAAAUAGAUUUCAAAAGUAAUGGAAUGCUCUCGGCGAAGACGGACAAAUGCACUUCGUGAUUCAUAAAAAAAAAUGUUUAAAUUAAUAAAUCAAAUUCACAUGGGAGCAUAAUUUGUUUUCUGAAAACAAAAACAAAAGGAAUCUGCAGGCAAGGGAUCCAGGACUUCCAAAUAUCACGCACAUAAUCGGAAAAAAAAAUGAAAAUCCAGAAAAGCACAGACGAUUUCCAGAAAUGAGGCUCAGAUCCGGCGCAUUGAACAUUAAAACGAAAAAAGAAACUCAAAAUUCCACAAUAUCUCAGCUGCAUUAUAUUCAAAUCUCAAUCGAAUAUCGAUCCAGAUUUUAGACGAGCUAAAAAUCUGCGCAUGACAGCGCAAAAUCAGAAGCUAACAAGAUCUCAUAAUCGAUGAAAAAUGGAGCUAGAUCUAGCCUAAAUGUUUCGCCAUUGAAUUUAAGUACACAUUUUUUCAUCUUAUAUUUACUCAAACAGAAACAGAGGAAUUAGAAAAUGCGAACGAAUAAAUAUGGAAAUUUAAGAAUUUAAAAUAAAGCAAAAUAAAUUAAUAAUAAUAAGUACCUGAAGAAGCGAAGCACUUGGACUGCAAAGAAGAAGAAAAUGAGAGACCUCACUUUCUCUCCCUCUCUCUUUCUCGCCUUCGCCGGCCGCGUUGUGAGUUGUAAACGUUCGGCUCUCUUCAACUGAAAGCCCGAGAGCUCCGUAUUUAAGCUGAUCUUUCCCUCCUAGAGUGGGCCCCACUUGAUACGCGUCGUUUGGGUUUUUUUUCCAUACACACAGGACUGGUCCGAUACCAUUUCUUUACGUGGACGGACCCAAAUAAGUGUGCGUGGCCUCCCAAGAAAAGUGUUCGUGUCCUCAGUUAUUUGACCGAAUUACCCUUUCAUUCUGUCCGUCCAUACACGGCAUCUUUUCUUUUUAAAGACAACCACCAGUGGAAAUUCGACUUUUGGUUGCUAAAAUAUCUCGGAGUGUAUCACGUUCACGGGGAGAUGCUGAUAUGACGACAAUGCCCUUUUUAAUUGGCUUAGUAUUUUGAUUGGACAAGUAACGUGUAAGUUAGAAGUUAAGUUAAUUUAAUUUAUGACUUAUAUAAUAAUAAAUUUAGGUCUUAUUUAAGUUCUAUUUGUUAUUGAAGUGUUGUAGUUUUUAAUUUAUAAUUAUUAUUAAAAAAUUAUAACUAUAAAAUAAAAAUUAAUAGUACGUAAUAAAUAUAAUUUUAACAAAAUUAGUGAAAAUAUAAUAUAUUUUUCAUCACACAAUAAUAGAAUCAAAUCAACUUAAAAGUUACAAUAAUCUAACAUCAAUCCCAAAUAAAACUUGAAUAUUGAUGUUAGGUAUUUGUAACUUAAAAUUUUUUAAAUAAUAUUAUUAAAAUAUUAGGUAAAUAUCAUAUGUUGUAGCUUUGAAACUUGGUUAAUUUAAUCAAACACUUUGCAUGAACAAAAACUUAAAAAUAUUAUAAUAUUUUUUGUCACGACAACGAUAGUUUAAAAGAUAUAAUACUUUAAUACCAAAUACACUCUUAUAAUGUUUAUUAUUUUUAUUAAUAUUAUUAUUUAACAAUCAUAUUUAUCGCAUUUUAUUUAUUUUUAUUUUAUAAUUAUAAUUUUUUUUACAAUACAAUUAUAACUUAUAAGUUACCGUGCCUUCCUUAAUAAUACUGAAUAUGACAUUAAUGGAACGCCGUAUCAUCUGAUUUGAUUUCGAGUAUCUUAAGAUUUUAUUAAUAAUAUAUAGGGGAAAAAAAAUUGUGCGGAACAGUCUACUACUAGAUUAGUAGACCUCACAUUAGACCUAUUAGUUUUAAUAAUUAAAAAAAACUCAAUGGGUCCCACUACUGUUUUACUGUAUAAGAGAAAAAUUCGCAGACUGUGGCACGGGGAUAGGCCACGCAAGCUUUUUUAAUAUAUAAAUCAACCGAUAACCGUAAACCUUACAGUAAUCUCAUACGACGCUUGAGGGCGCGCCUACUACUGCUACUAUUUUUCAAAUUAAACUAUUCAAAUUGUUUUGAAAUUAUAGCGGCGAAAAAAAAAGAAAGUUGCCAAAUAAAUUUCUUUCGUAAUUUUUAUCUUAAAAAUUGCGUUGCGUGAAUAAAAAUGAAAAUAUUUAUUUCGUGGGCAACAUUGUUCAACUAUCAACUACAAUGAAUUGUUAUAAUCAGGGACAUUAAUUUUAUAUCAAACAACUAAUUAAAUAAAUAAAUCAUGUGCGCAAGCAUGCUCCGCAAUAUUAGCGUUAGCCCCCUAAUAAAAUAUUAUUCAAACAUUUAUAUUUUUAUUGUUGAUUAUUUGGGUACGGCAUUAAAAAUAGAAAGUCAGAAUGAAGCUGCAAAUAAUUAAAUUUCAAAGCAUGGGAAAACAGUUAUUACAAGUAGUUUUGGCGGUGGGAUGCAACUAUUUGUCAAAGGCAAAUUAAUUAGGCAAGUGGCUGGCUGGCAUUAAGUUGUAUGCAAAGAUUCAAACGCCGCGCAUUUUGGGCGUGUAAUCCGACAAGUUGAUCGAUCUGUCGAUUGUUACGUCAACUCAAGCAAUGAACUUUAAGAUUGAAGAACGCUGUUGUUGGACGACUUUACGAAAGAAUGUUGUUUGUUGAUUUGUGUACAUGAUUUUUAACUCUAAUAAAUUUCUUUUUUAAUGUUGGAUAGCUAGUUUCAAUUAUAACUGUGAACCAAUCAUUGUACCCAAUAAAAUACCCAAAAAAAAAAACGAAAAUUGGUUUUUCUUUUUCCUUUUUUGUUUUUAACAUAUUGCCUCUUCACACCGAUAACUAGUUACCUAUUCACAUGCUAUGACCUUACGGGACAAGAAGGGCAAGGGCGGAUUCAUUCCACUUAUAUGAAUUUAACAUAUAAUUAAAUCACGAAUGUUUUUGUGAUACAUACACACGAAAGAAAUUUAUAACGAGUAAUUUAGGUUUUGUCGUAUACUCAAAUUGAACAGGUCCCCAAGUAAUUUUGUCAGGAGAAGAAAGAAUGAAUUGGCACGUCCCAGAAAAUUUGAGCUGUAAUUAAUUGACUUGACUUAAUACACAUAAUUAAUUUAUGCCGAAAUUAACAAGUUUACCAAAUUACGUUAAAAUUCAUUUUUGGUCUCUUUCACCCUUCGCUCAUCCUAAAGUUGAGGGAGUCCCAUUUUACAUCAAACUAAUAUUAUUAUCAUUUUUUCUAUUCUCUUUCUUCUUCUUUUAUAAUUACGAACUGUCUUUUUCUUAGAAUUAGGUUGCGUUUGAAAUUUUCCUUCUCCAAAGUGGAAAAGGGCGAAACAUUGUGAAAUCCAUGUAAAACAUUUUCAAGUCAUUUCAAAUUGGUUUGGCCGUCUUCAACAUUGUGAAUCAUGAGUUAUAAUUGAAGAUAAUCUUUUUUCCUGCAAAUAGUUAAUUUGGCUUGAAAUAAACUUCUCUCAUUCCAAAGGUAGAUAGGUUGUCCUUUUCAAAUUUCAUUAUUUGAAUUUAACAAAGAACGUGGAAUUUACUCAGAAUUUUACAACUAAUUAAUUAAACGAGUUUAAUUAUAUUUCACUUUCAAAUUUAAUCAGCAAGGAAAAAAAUGAAACAAUAAGUCCUUUUCAUAAUAUAUGUUAUGGUCAAUAAUAUAUAUAUGAACUAUAAACUCUUCGAACAAACUCAUACAAUAUAAGACUAUUGAUUGGAUGAAAAUAUCACGUAACAAUGACAUAAUUCAAUUUUAUUAUCUUAUGUUUCUAUAUGACCAAUAGUUCCAAACGUUCAGUUAAAAUUGCAGACUUACUCACAUUAGAUUAAUUAUUCAUUAAUUUAAGUUCAAAUUAUUUUAAAAAUAUCUCAUCUAUUUAUAAUUUUUAGCUCAAUUGGCUUGAUGGACAGUUACAAAUAAAUAUAGCCUCAUAAUCUUAUUUCAUGCACUUGACAGUUGAGAGCAGUAAAAGCCGUGAUCUGGGAUAUGUCUUUUGACUUAUUUCAUAUAACUCCAUUCUAUCUUAAGUUAGGGUGCGUUUGAUAUUGAGGUGUAAAUUUUACAAUUGUUGUCGAAAAAAAAACUGUACCUAUGAAAUAAAAAAUUGUAAUAUAUAAUAAAUGUAAAAUUUAAAUAAUAAUUUAAAUAAAAUUAUUAAAGAUAUAAUAGAUUUUUUAUUAUACAAGUAAAAAAUUAUAUCAAUAUAAUUUUUAAAUUACAUCAAUUAGUAUUUACCAAACAUUUUAAUGCUAUAGUUUUUAAGUUACAACUGCUCAACCCCCUUCCCAAACGCACCCUUAAUUACUUACCCCGAAUACUUCCAAUAUUUUCAGUAUACAACACAAAUUACACUCUCUUGAAACUUAAAAAUCUUUUCCAUUGAAACGCUAGUGGAUCAAAACCGGCAAACGGUAAUCAUAGGUGGCAACAUCCGGCCUCCACGUAUCAGGUGAAGCCACCUGUCGUCGUGGUCACCGUCGUGAGGAGAUACGUGGCCUCACACGUUCAGGGGCAGUGAAUUAUGGGCUCUCCAACUUUCAUUUAUCCUUGAAACGUGUCAAAUACUCAAAUCCCUGCAACUCCUCCUCCAUGUAUUAAAUCAAAGAAGAAAACAUGAAAAUUUUAAAUCUAAUGUAAAUUAAAUAAUUUAUCGCUAAAGAUAAGAUGCAGUCAGGAAGAGACGCGGCGGAGUCCAUAAAGGCCAAAACCGCUGCUUCUGCUGAUUAGGUAGGCACGGAGAAGGCCAAGGCCUCGGUGAUAGGUCCCAGUCAGAACUACACUUAUACAAUGCGUAUGAUUCUCUUUGGAUGAGAAUAAAUCACCAGAUAAUAUUUAGAUAAUUUACUGAAUGACUUAUUAUUGCACUCAAAAACUUAUUUAUACAUUUAAUCACAACCCACUACUCCAAUAAACAGCCGAAAAUAGAGGCUUCUAGUGCGUACACUAAGCGAAUAACAGAAUAUAAAACAAAUGCAACAACCUACUUACUAAACCACUCAGCAAAACAAGUAGCACAAGAUGAUUUAAAUGCAACAACUAAACAAACUAUGAAUCCUCCAACGUCCACUUUAAGUCGAUAACUAUGCAAACUAACCACUAGUGAAUAUUGCUCCGGUUCCUACUCCCUUGCAUGCAUGAGUUUCACGUCCUGCAUGCCCAUGUCACACGUCUAGACCUCAUCCUUGAUACUUGGAAUUUGGUUUUGUCACACUUGUUGUCUUACAUGGCUCUCCAGCCUCAUCACUCCAUCAGAGAGAAGGCAGAGAGAAUGAAGAGGAGUGAUCCGGCGGAGAAAGAAGCAGCGACGAGGGAGAAAGAGGAGAGGGAUAAACAAGCACAGUGGAACAAGAAGGAGGCACAUUUCCACAAUGAAGAAGCCUGGCGGGUAGCCCAAUCAGGGGGCGGGGGCGGGGGCGCGCAUCCUGGUUACAAGACAUGGGGUUCUCAUUCUCAAGCUCGUGAUGAUAGUAAUGCAACUACAACUGCAACUGCACCUGCACCUGCACUGGGACUGAAGGUCGUUACACCCCGGCCACGAUGGGAGUUGGGCAUGCCACUGUUGCCGGGGAUUCACGUCAGCCCAGGGGCCCUGUUAGAAGUGAUGCUCCUAGGUUUACUUAAGAUAUAUGGAAUAUGUAGUGUGUGAAGAAUCUGCAUGCACGUGUAGUCGUUUUGAAUGAUGUGUCCCUGUUGUCUAAUUUCGAAUGUCUGUUUCUUUGAAUGGUCUGUCUGUUGUUCUUUUGAGUACUUUAGCAACAAAUUGUUUCUGAUGAUUAAGCUUUCAUUAGUUCGGUUGUUGUUGAUUGAACGCUUACAUUAAUUUUCAAGAACAAAAGAAAAUGAGAAAAAGAAAAAGGAAACUUCAGAAAGAGCCUGAAAACCAUCACUGUAGAAAUAGAAAAUGCCGUGACAUGGAACAUUUGAGAUAAAAAAAUAACGCCAUUUUACUCACGCGUUUUUCUUUUUCUUGUUUUUUCCUCAGCAUUAAUAUUAUACCUUCGAAGAUCAAAAGGGGACUGAAAGGGCGUGUCAGGUAGGUCAAGGACAGAGAGGUGUGUUUGGCAGGUUGGUUCGCUGGGAUCAGCAGGGCAUUAUUCAAGGUUAUAAUUUGUGCUAUAGGGGUUUCUUUUAGGCGUGUAAUAUAUUGUUUAGGAAAAUGUUAGGGAGCCAGAGGAACGAGAGAAUGACAAGAGAAACGGUAUUCUCUGCUGCCGUUUCGCUUCUCGUUCCUCUCGCUACCUAAAACAUUAAAAUAAUAAAAAAAAUAAUAAAGAAAGAAUGCUUUAUUGCUACGUACAGAGGGAAAUCUUAUCAACUUAUCUCCAGCCUAGACUUUCCUCUCUCCCUCACGCUCCCCUCUCACGCAAAUCACCAUCUUCUCAACUGGUCGACAUCCUCUCUCCCUCACGGCUUCCGGCAAAAAUAUUUCGGAUUGCAGAACAAAUUAAAGUACAUACCUUUUUUUUUCAUUUAAAUGGCCACAUGUAAUAAGCUAAGUUGUAGUUUCAGUCUCGGAUUUGGAUUUAUCAAGAUGGUAUCCAAAAGUGCCAUCCUCGGGUUUUGAUUUGGAAACCUGACCAUUAUCAGUUGGUUUUGUUUUUCGUUUUGGGACUGUAAACAUAGCCUUCAAGAUUUGGUUUUCCAGUUUCAGGAUUGGAAUUGUAAACUAUAAACACUUGCAGAGGCAAGGAUUAGCAAUGAUAAGAGAAUCAAAGAAGCAAUAUUGAAAAGGAAGCAGGUGGUGAUAUACAGCCAUUAAUUACAAGAGAAGCAGAUAAUUAAAUAGAUAUACAUGUCAUAAGAUGCCACCAUAUGGAUGAUCCCCAAUGUAUAAGUAACUCAGCAGCGCUUACGAUUGAUUUUCAGGUGGAUGUAAAAUGGGCGAACUUGAAUUAUUAGGCUCUCAUAAGGAAGGCUUUCAUAGUUAUGUGUGGCGACGUGACAUUCAAAAAAAUUAGACUUUGUCGUUGCUCAUCAAUAAUUACAGACGAAGUAGAUCAUCUAACUCUAAUAUCCUUUUGCUCAAUAAUAACCCUAAGUUGAUUCAUUAAGACUUCAUUUAAUUUUCAAUUGAUUUUCGUAUUUAAAAAAAUGAGCCGAUACAUCCUGUCAUCACUUCUAUUUGUGUUAAAUAUUUCAUUUUGAUGGCCGUGAGCAGUUCGUGAAAGGCUGGCUGGAGAGGGAGGAGGUUGUGAGCAGUUCGUGAAAGGCUGCCUGGAGAGGCCGCGAGCAGUUGCCAGUUGCUGGCUGGAGAGGGAGGAGGCUGUGAGCAGUUCGUGAAAGGCUGCCUGGAGAGGCCGUGAGCAGUUGCUAGUUGCUAGCUUGAGAGGGAGGAGGCCGUGAACAGUUCGUGAAAGGCUACCUGGAGAGGCUGUGAGUAGUUGUUGGUUGCUGCCUAGAGAGGGAGGAGGCCGUGACCGGUUGCUGGCUGGAGAGGGAGGAGGUCGUGAACCAUUGCUUUGGCUGGAGAGGGAGGCCGUGAACAGUUGAGAAGAUAGUGAUUUGCGUAAUUUGCGUGAGAGAGGAAAGUGAAGAGUGAAGCCUGCGUGAGAGAGAGAGAGGAAAGUGAAAGCCUGCUAGAUUUCACUCGCCAUUUCUUUAUUCAAUUUUUUUUAAUGUUUUAACGAGUGAGAGGAACGAGAGGCAAAACGGCAGCAACUGCUGCCGUUUCUCUCGUCCCUCUCGAUACCUAGCAGCACUCUAUUGUUUAAAGUUUGCGUCAACGAAUCAAAUUUAAAAUCGCUUAUGUCAUUAUUAUGUCUCAUGUAUUAUUAUGCCUUAGGUUGAGUUGAAAAUUUGAUUUUUUUUUGUUAUUUUAUAGUUUUAAGUUAGUUUCUUACUUUUUUUUAUUGUUUUUGAUAUUUUUAUUUUUUUUAGAUAUCAUAUUUUAGUGACAUUUAUUUUGUUUUCUUUAUUUAGAUUUGGAUAGUUCUAUUAUGAAACAGUAUUUCUAAUUUAUCUAUUUUGAUAAACUAACUAUAUUUAGAAUUAGUAUUAAAAGGAUUUAAAGCCUUAGUAACGUUGAUUUAUUUAUUCGUAAUUGUGGGUUAUUUUAUAAUCUUAAAGAAGGAUAAAUUUUAAUAAGUCUCAUUCUAUUAUAAAUUAAAGUGAAUUGAUAAUUAAGAUUUGAGACAGUAUUUUAUAGAGAAGUGAAUUAAUAAUUAAGUGAUUUGACACAUUAGUUUAUAGAUCGAUAAAAAAAAACACUAAAAAAAUGAGUUCGAAGGCUAUACGUAGGAAAUACACAUUUAAGUUGGUUAAAUUACUGAUCAAAAGUUUAAACUAUAAGUCAAAAAGUAAGAGUUCAAUAAUUGUACUGAAUAUAAGUUUUAAACCUCUUAAAAUUUAUUUUUAUAAUUUAAGUCUCCAAUAAAUUUUUUAAUGCUUCAUUGUUCUCUUAUGUUAAAGGAGUAAAAUAAAAAUUGCAAUGUUAAGGAUAAUAUUAUCAUGACAUUUUCACAUACUGUCGAUAGCAAACUGAUUAAAAGACAAUUUAACAAAGGCAAGGCAAAAAAAAGAGAAAUGAAUAGAAACAAGUGCAAUAAUUAUACAAAUAGAUAUAAACUGAAUCUAAAAGAAGGCAAAUCAUUAAUUAGCGUCGUUAUGAAUAAAAGAGAGUAAGCGAGUGUGAAGCAUCGAUCAUUCUUUUUCCUUAUUUUAGAAAUACAUAUGUCGGUUUCAGAAAUUAAUAAGAUAAAUGAAAACUCGUUUCUUUUUCUUAAGAAUAAUCUCCUAGAAACGAACUUGAAUUAAGUCUCACUUUUGCGUGAAAUUGAGUUCACAGAAGUUGCAAACUUCCAAAAUUAUUUUCAGAUUUACGUGAAGGCCCAUCAUAUCUAUCAAAUUAAAUUAGAACUACAACUCUUCUGGAUCGAAACACAUGCAAGUGGAUCAAAAGCAUUCAACGGCAACGAUCACACAUGCAACUUCCGGCCUCUUGUCGCCACCGGAAGCCGCCACGUCAGAGAAAUAUUCUCAAAAACAAACAUCCUUAUCAUCCUAGUAAUCAAAGCCAUAGAAGACACGUCGCCUCACGUGUCAUGGACAGUGAUGUUUAUAGAACUCCACUUGUCACUUGUGUUGUACACGUGUCGAAAACCCAGUAUCCCUCCAAAUCUAUUUAAACCAGACCAAAAACUUGCAAAAUUUUUCGAGCACGGUUGGUUCUUCAACAUCGGUACGUACUAAUAUCAAGACAGCCAACUUAGUUCAACAAGAAGGAAGAUGCAGUCAGGAAGAAACACAGUAGAAUCCGCCAAAGAAUCGGCGGCCGCCUCUGCCAAGGCCGCCAUGGAGAGGGAGAAGGCCACCGCUAAAGAAAAGGUCUUUAUAUCUUUUUUUUUAAUUAUUAAUCCCACAGCAUUACGCAACAAUGUUACCUAUAAACGUAAUCUGAUGCAGGGGGAGAAGUUAACGACGAGGGACCCGAUGGAGAAGGAAGCAGCAACCCUGGAGAAGGAGCAAAGGAAGACGCAUGCGCAGCUGAACAAGGAAGAGGCAAAAGCACACAACGAAGCGGCGAGGCGGCUGGGGGAGACCGGAGGGCCCCAUCCGGGUUACGAGACACGGGGUACUGAAGGUCAAGAAUACAGGACAACAACUGCAACUGACACUGCGCCUGCGACCGGCCAUGAGGGUUACGCGGCCGAAUCCCGUUAUCCUAGGGGACGUAAUCCUCCUAGCUAUUAGUCUGUUGGUUUUUUGUAUAUAGAUUCCCGGAAUGUCCAGGCGCUUAUGGCUUCUUGGAGUGUCGUUAAUAAGCGAUGGUUAUAUCUGGUUUAGUGUUUGUAUACUUCGGUGUGUUUAAAUUUGUUGCUUGGGCUGUACAAAUAGUAUUGCAGGGCUUAUGUUGUAUGAUUCUGUUGUUCUAAUUCAAUAAAACUGGUAUGGUGUAUAUAAGUUUAAAUACCACUUUGCUUAAUUUUAUGAUGUUUUAAUUUGUUGGCUAAGCCAGUUAAUUAAUUAUUGGAUGUGUUCCAUUAAAUGAUUGUAAAAUUCAUGGUAACAACAUGAACUGGGAAAAAAAGGUAAGUGAAACUUGUAUCACGUGGAAUAUGGCGAUGAUCUAAUGAUCAAACAUCCAUGAAUCACAAAUCCCGUUAUUGCUUACAAGCUCCUAUCUUUUUCAUUCGACCCCCUACUCAAAUUGGGCUUUAAUUCUUUCAUUAUUAUUAUCGUGUCCAAACUUUUUAUGCAGGAUUUUGUAUCUGGAUUUUUCUAAGUUAUAGUAACCUACAGCCCCUUCAAAAAUAUGCGGGUUCCACUAUGUGUUAACAACAUUUUACAGGCUGCAAAUUACAGCAGCACCAUUUUAUGCAAUCAGUAUUUUCAUCGAUUGAAUACUUGCAAUUAAUUUCAACAUACAUUAAGACCAAUUUAUGCAGUCAUAAUUGCGAUUAUUUUUUUAAUUUUUUUUCCCGAAAACAUUUAUGAAAAAGAGAGAUUAAGAUCCAUGGUGACACAAAUAUAGUGGCUGUUUUUUAAUUCAGAUUCACCUCUUUCUUCUCAUUAGGACCCGUCGGGUUUGGUAUACAUAUGUUGAAUAUAGAGACUGGAAAUUGGGCAUUGGGGUGAUUGGAGGGAGGAUACAUUGUUAGAACAUGCUGGGGAUAGAAUUGAUCUGGUAUGAUAGGCAGGCGUUCGUUGCUAGGCAGCUUACCAUACGUCAUUAUCGAACAUUGGGCGCUCCACAGCUGCUCGCGUGCUAUGAAACAAAAUAUAAUCAGAUCUCGACUUGUUGACAAAACAAAGAGCCUAGUACUCAACCCAAGCAAGUUAAACCAUCCCGAACUAUUAUAUUUUAGCGCAGGCCAGCAAUCGUAUAGCCCAUGUGCCUAAAGGCCUACAGCUAGCCGAAAUAGAAACUUGCGUAAUUAGUCUCACUACAUCAUGUGAUUAGUCGCAGAUGACUAGCGUCGUCUGCAGCUAAUAUGCAUUCAGUCAAGAGGCUCCGUGUAAACACCCACAGCUAAUGGAUUCUCACACAAUAAUCUGCACUUAAUGUAUCAAUAUUUAUUACAAAAAGAAAGCAACAAUGACAUCCGCUGAUAUCAAUUUAAAAGACCUGACCUACACUAUAAAUUCGGUACCCGAAAUACCUAACCUACACUAUAAAUUCAGUAUUCAAGGUACCCAACAUACACCAUAAUCUCGGUACUUGAAGUACCCGACCUAUACCAUAAAUUUGGAUACAUGAGGUACACUUGAAGAUUAAGAAGAUAUGAGGGGUACCACAGAUUAGACGCGAAACGGUCAAAGAAAAGUCUCCAAAGAGUCAGUUGCGAGAAACGCCUUUAUUAAUAUAGAGUUUUAUAGUUGGAGUCAUCAAAAUAAUGUUGGCUUACACCGAGUACCCAGAUGCUCUGUGGGGUACCUUGGGUACACCGAGUAAGGGUAAAAAGGUUAGAAAAAUAUUUAAAAAAGUAUUAGAGGAUGAAAAAGAUAUUAUCCAAAAAAAAAGAUUGACUGAUUUUCUAGCUUAAAAUAAGGAAUCGACGACGAAAUCGUAUUUUAUAAAAGAGGAGAUAGCCGCCUGUCACACCAGCAAAUAAGGCAAAAGGUUAGGUAUUAUGACAAUUGAGACCACCAACUUUUCCUGUCAUAUCUGUAAAUUUACAACAGAAUUACAGAGGUAUGCGAGACCACUCCAUUACGCCUAGCACGUGAAUACACCUCAAACUUGCUCUCCACGCAUAUUUUUGAAACGCCCAAGCCGCCAUACGCAUGAAAAUAAAAAUAUUCUUGACAUGAUAUUAAGGAAGGCUAAUAAGAUAACACCAUGUGGCACGACGACCGAGGUACACCUUAUAAAUACUCAUGUUUAAUUUUUUUUGUCAAGUAAGUUAACACAUAUACCACAAAAACUAGGGUUCCUUCAACCUCUAAGCCUAAAAGCCUUCAUUACCGAGAGUUUGCAAACUCUCUAAUUUGAGAUAACCCAACUCUGAUUUGAGCGUCAGGGUGUGGUCACCGGCCACUCCCAACUCCACCUCUGACCUCUUUUUUUUUUUUUUGCAGUUUCGCAUGUUUAAGACGAUUUUUUUCGAGUCUUCUGCACCUGAAGUCGGACCCUCGCAAUAUCGACUACUAUCUCAAACCUUAUUCACUCCACAAAAAGUCUAAACAAUCUGUACACGUCGAACAAGCGAGACAUCCCACUUUCCCAAAAAAAAAAUUAUUAUUCUUAUCUUAAUUUUGUAGUAUUCAUACACGUACCCAAAAUCCUUUGAAAACAUUAUUUAAUAGACAAGUGACACGUUAAAACUCAAACAGUAAAAAGCCUUACGUAAUUGUAAUCGCAAUAUUGCAUGUGUUAAUAAUACUUGUGCCCACAAUUUUGUCACACAAGUUGAGGUCGUAGCUUUAAUGAUCUUAUCCAAAACGGCCCUGUUUAUCUUGUAACAAUAACCCGACGGUGAGUAAGUCCAUUUCGAUGUUGGAACAAAACUGCAACACGUAACGAGUCAAACUGAGAAGUUAUCGGAUGAAGGAAGACCAUCCAGAAAUCCGGACACGACACGCGUAGAAACGGCCGGUUUCCAGUCGCCACAAAUCCUAUCAACCACCCACGUAAGUUACAAAUUAUCCAAAUACUAUUUAAACAAUAUGAAACGUGGCGAAAAGUAGUAAGAAGUAAAAGAAACAGCACCUACGUGUAUUUUUUCCUCGGGCACGUGUCAUAACCUCUGAGACCCCUCUUCCUCUAUUUAAUGAAACUACGAGGCUACUAUCUUCUUCGUCGAUUACACAAAACGAUAUCGGUUUACGGUUAGCAUAAUUGCAUUCAAGGCAAAGAAGAAAUUUGAAGAAAGUGAAAAUGCAGUCCAUGAAGGAAUCGGCAGCUAACGUUGCGGCCUCUGCCAAGGCUGGCAUGGAGAAAACUAAAGCCACGGCCCAAGAGAAGGUUUCACUCUCUUAAUUACUAUUGUUUUCUUUUAUUUAUGAUUUGACCCCAUAACUUUCAGCAGUUUAACAAAUAUGGUGCAGGUUGAUAAAAUGAAAGCGCAUGAUCCAGUAGAGAAAGAAAUGGCGACGGAGAAGAAAGAGGAAAGAAGAAUGCAAGCGGAGCUCGAGAAGCAGGAGGCUCGUGAGCACAAUGCGGCGGCAAAGCAAGCGACGGGUGGGCUUGGCUAUACAACAGCUGACAGCUACUCGCACUCGACCACUGGGAUGCACGGUCGUCCGACUGGAGGCCAGCAGAUGUCAGCCCUUGCCGGUCAUGGAACAGGGCAACCGGCUGGGCAGAUGACUGAAGGGGUGGUGGGGUCGCAUCCGAUGGGAGUCAAUACUGGGACGGGCCACAACCCCGCACAUAACACGCGAGUUGGGGGCGGUGGGGGAGCCACUGGAUAUGGCACUGGUGGUUCUUACAAUUAGAUUUUUUUUAUGAAGUUGGCCUUUGUGUUUUAUGUAAUAAGGGUCAAUUUGUAAGAAUGAGGUUGCAUGAUCCUCUAGCGUACUUUCUGUUUGGUUUCGUGUUUAUCUGGCUGGCAGCGUAUUAUCAUGUGAUGUAAUGUAUGAUGUGUUGUUGCCCUUCUAUAAUAUAUGUUGAAUAAAAAGUUGCUUGUUUUGUGAAAGGAUAUCUAUGCAUGAGAAUGAGUGAACAAAAGAGUAUUGGGCCAAGGCAAUUUGAAGAAGUGAAAUUGGGAGGCUGAAACUGAAAUCAAUUUUUUUUUUAUAAGAUUAAAAAUAUCACUCAAGUGUGAGAUAUCGGAGAUAGCAUAAGAUAAGAAAACUAGACCAGCAUCGCUUUUCUGGAAUCUGGCGCGCGAGUGCAAGAUUAAACAAACUGAAAGGUAAAGAUAAGAUGUUACAGGUACAAGAGGCUUUCCAUAAAUUAGUAUGGAAUUUCCACUAAAAGCAUUUAGAAAUUGGAAUAGUUGGGUGGCCUACUUUGCACUUUCGGUGUUAAAAAAUUCUUUAUUUCUGAUUGGGAUCCAGGAUUUCUCUUUAAUAUUGGACCGACAGAAGUCUAUUUAUUACCUUAUCGUCUCCAUUCUCAGGGUGACGAGAAAUUUUAUGUUAUUAUGGAAUUAUUAACUAAUUAUAAUUUGAUAUGGCAAUAAUUUUUAAACCUGAAGAUUAGUGUGGUAAAAGUCAAACAACUUUUUUUGCCCUUUCACUCUUCUUUCUUCUGAUCUGACUUCCGUUUCUUCUCGCUUCGGUGCUCGUUCUUCCCAUUGACAACUCUAUUCCUGACAGAAACAUGCCUAAUCACACUUUGAUGCUCCUUAUGCUUCUUAUUCACAAAUCCAUUUCCCCGCAAAACAUGUCGCUAGCUUUGUUAGAGAUGUCACAACAUCCGAUUUGUAAAGACUUCCCUGAAGACUCCUCCAUUAUUCUCUCUCUCCAGCCCUCAAUUUAUUUUUGCCUACUGAUUAAUCACAUAACAACAUCAAGUCUGGACAAUUAUUAUGCCUCAGCGAACUGAUGCAUGCAGGAACUGAAAUUUACAGUAGAGUAUUAGCAUCAUUGAGUGUUUCUAGAAUAAGGAUUGUCAAGGAACAAUUAGCGAAAAGCUUUUGGAGGAUGAUAUGGAAACAAUGAGUAUGUUCGAGAAUUCAAAGAAAAUAGAUGACCGUUCUGUUGAUGCCGAAAUCCGGAUAAGUUGGUCAGAUUUUAGAUCCCUGCAUCAUCAUUAAAUUUGUUUGGUGGGAAGCUGAUGAUUAGUUAACACCAUGAGCAGAUUUUCUAUGAACAGAUGUUCUGUGAGCAAAAAACCCAUGAGCAGAUAAUCCAUGAGCAGACGAUCCAUGAGCAGAGAACCCAUGAGCAGACAAGCCAUGAGCAGAUAACCCAUGAGCAGACGAUCCAUGAGCAGAGAACUCAUUAGCAGGCAAUCCAUGAGCAAAUAACCCGUGAGCAGACGAUCCAUAAGCUGAGAACUCAUGAGCAGGCAAUCCAUGAGCAGAUAACCCAUGAGCAAACGAUCCGUGAAUAGAUAACCCAUGAGCAGACAAUCCAUGAGCAGAUAACCUGUGAGCCUGUGAACACAACCAACGGUCAAGAGGUGCCGGAAGUUUUUCCGGCGAGAACCCUCCGACGCUCAAGUCAGGGAUUCGGGUCUUACUUGGAAAAACCCAUACCACAAUUCAUGUGGCUUAAUUAUGAUUGCUUUAAACAAAAAGCUUUUAAGUAAAUUUAAAGGAAAAGAAUUUGAAAUAAUCAAUCUUAAAGAAAUCACAGGAGAGAGAGAAAUUUCUCAGUGGUAAAGAGAGAAAAAUGUCCAAUGGGUUCAGUUGCUUCGAGAGAGAGAGAGAGAGCUAGCAGAAUCCCCCUUUCUUUUCCCUUCCUAGGGUUUUUAUAGGAAACUAUAGCGGUUUUCAUCCACUCUCUUAGAAUUAUUAAGAAAACUAUUAAUUUUUAGCCCACUAAGAAUAUGGUCCCUAAUAUUUCGGAGAAAAUGUUUUGACUGAAUCGUGCUUUCUGGUAAUUUCCUGGUCGAGGUCACCACAUAUUAUCCUAGUCGAGGUGAUGUGCUCAAGGUCACCACAUAUUUUCAUGGUCGAGGUGACCAAUAAUAUCCUGGUCGAGGUGAUCUGCUCAACCAUUUGCUCGCUUUUACUCUGGAGGAGAGCAUGAUAAUGUAUGAGCAAACACCUUUAUCUUGGUCACCCUAUUUCAUUCCCUAAACACCAGUCCCCCAGUUUCUAGUGUUGAGAGUGAACGAAUCAAGACUGGAAACUUUGGUGGUUUGCUCGCCUUCGCUUGGUUGAGUAGAUCCUGGCAUGCUUGGCUUCCUGUCUCGCUAUAAAACAGUCUUUGAGACUUUGGAGCCUUUGCACGCCUUAGGAAUUUUUAUAACACUUGAGGGUCUGCUCGCCUUCGCUUGGUCAAGCAGAUCUUGGCACGUUUGGCUUCUGGUCUCGCCAUAAACAGGCUUUGAGACUUGGUGAGCCUUUGCAUGCCUUAGUAAAUUUUAUAACACUUGAGGGUCUGCUCACCUUCGCUUGGUCGAGCAGAUCCUGGCACACUUGGCUUCUGGUCUCGCCAUAAACAGGCUUUGAGACUUGGUGAGCCUUUGCAUGCCUUAGUAAAUUUUAUAACACUUGAGGGUCUGCUCACCUUCGCUUGGUCGAGCAGAUCCUGGCACACUUGGCUUCUGGUCUCGCCAUAAACAGGCUUUGAGACUUGGUGAGCCUUUGCAUGCCUUAGUAAAUUUUAUAACACUUGAGGGUCUGCUCACCUUCGCUUGGUCGAAGCAGAUCCUGGCACGCUUGGCUUCUGGUCUCGCCAUAAAUAGGCUUUGAGACUUGGUGAGCCUUUGCAUUCCUUGAAAACUUUUUGGAACUUUGGUGGUCUGCUCACCUUCGCUUGGUCGAGCAGAUCCUGGCAUGCUUGGCUACCUGUCUCGCCAUAAAACAAGCUUUGAGACUUUGGAGCAUUUGCACGCCUUAUUAGUAAAUUUUGAUUGACUUCUCAACGCUAGCCUAGCUCUCUUUUCUUAAAUCAUUCUCAUAUUGAGUAACUUUCAAGAAAUCAAGUUCACUAAGUUAUACCGUCAGCCCUAAUAUGAGCACAAUCAAUUUAAUGAAUAUAAGGUAUUCUCAUCUCACAUAGUAGGAUUUAGAGAAAUAAUUAAAUUUUCAUGAAAGAAAUUACUUGUAAAUAAAAAUUUAACUUCUGACCUGUUCUGAUUUCUAUAAACGUGUGCCUUCAAUGUGCUCUCAUUUAAGGUUUUUACUUCCUUGUUUAAGCAAGCUCAUCCAUUUAUGCACUGUAACUUUCUGAUUUGCUUCGACUUAAUGAAAAUUGAUAGAGACGAAAAAUUGCUUCUCGUACCGGUCCCCACAGACGGCGCCAAAUGUUGAUGUCGAAAUCCGGAUAAGUUGGUCAGAUCUUAGAUCCCUGCAUCAUCAUUAAAUUUGUUUGGUGGGAAGCUGAUGAUUAGUUAGCACCAUGAGCAGAUUUUCUAUGAGCAGAUGUUCUGUGAGCAGAAAACCCAUGAGCAGAUAAUCCAUGAGCAGACGAUCCAUGAGCAGAGAACCCAUGAGCAGACGAUCCAUGAGCAGGCAAUCCAUGAGCAGAUAACCCGUGAGCAGACGAUCCAUAAGCUGAGAACUCAUAAGCAGGCAAUCCAUGAGCAGAUAACCCAUGAGCAAACGAUCCGUGAACAGAUAACCCAUGAGCAGACAAUCCAUGAGCAGAUAACCUGUGAGCAUGUGAACACAACCAACGGUCAGGAGGUGCCGGAAGUUUUUCCGGCGAGAACCCUCCGACGCUCAAGUCAGGGAUUCAGGUCUUACUUGGAAAAACCCAUACCACAAUUCAUGUGGCUUAAUUAUGAUUGCUUUAAACAAAAAGUUUUUAAGUAAAUUUAAAGGAAAGGAAUUUGAAAUAAUCAAUCUUAAAGAAAUCACAGGAAAGAGAGAAAUUUCUCAGUGGUAGAGAGAGAAAAAUGUCCAAUGGGUUCAGUUGCUUCGAGAGAGAGAGAGCUAGCAGAAUCCCCCUUUCAUUUCCCUUCCUAGGGGUUUUAUAGGAAACUAUAGUGGUUUUCAUCCACUCUCCUAGAAUUAUUAAGAAAACUAUUAAUUUUCAGCCCACUAAGAAUAUGGUCCCUAAUAUUUCGGAGAAAAUAUUUUGACUGAAUCGUGCUUUCUGGUAAUUUUCUGGUCGAGGUCACCACAUAUUAUUCUGGUCGAGGUCACAACAUAUUAUCCUGGUUGAGGUGAUGUGCUCGAGAUCACCACAUAUUAUUCUGGUUGAGGUGACUAAUAAUAUCUUGGUCGAGGUGAUGUGCUCGAGGUCACCACAUAUUAUUCUGGUCGAGGUGACCAAUAAUAUCCUAGUCGAGGUGAUCUGCUCAACCAUUUGCUCGCUUUUACUCUGGAGGAGAGCAUGAUAAUGUAUGAGCAAACACCUUUAUCUUGAUCACCCUAUUUCAUUCCCUAAACACGUUCCAAUCUUGAUGUUCUUGCUAAUGAGAAAUUGGUUUUGAAUCCAACAAUUGACAAAUGCUAGAAUAAAAGUUAAUUCUUAACAAGCGAAAAAGAAGAACUACAAAAAGUACAAAUUUAAUUAUUUGUCUUUUUUUUUCUUCUUUUUUUUUUCCCGCAUAAAGUGCUCUACUAUGACUGUCUUUCAGAUAAGCUUCAUCUGUUAGUAAGUACUCUCUCUUAUGCAAAGCAAAACAAAAAUGCAACCUCUAAUGGUCCAUCACAUCCAACAGCCAUGCAGCAAUUUUCAACAUUCAGUCCAUCGAUUCAUGACUUAACUUAUACUAGCAUCUUCAAGGAAAUUGAUCGAAUGCCUCAUUUGAAUUAGGUAAUACUUGAAAAUCAAUAUGCACACUUAAAUCUCUUAACUUGUUUUAAUCAAAAGAGCAUAUUUAUCUAAUAUAGCGUGGUCCAUGCAUCUUCAUCUUUGCUGACAGUUGCAUUUGGACAGUGACCUCACUUAAGUCAGGUUUUAUUAAUUUUCCUUUUAGCUUUUUGAAUUGAUUAUUUAGAUAACUAUAUUGAAUUAAUUAUUUAAAUAACUAUCUAUGUGUUCUCUAAUAUUUAAACAGACAAUGUAAGAUUCAAACAACCAUGAUAUGGAUAGAAUUGGAUGCCAAGGAAAUUGAAUGUUAUAUAACAUCUUUUUCUUUAAGCACGAUGGUAAGUGGGUUGUGUAUAUCUCAGUUAGUAUAUUUUCAUUGUUUAUAUUCACUGGUUAAUAUAUGUUUUUAUUUUUUUAACACCGCACUGAUAGUUUUUUUUUUUUUUCCUUUUUUGCAUGUGUAGGUUGCCAAGGCAUUUAUCGAAUAUGGUAAUAUACAGAUUUAUUAGUGUGGUUAUAUUUAUAAUGUUGCUUUUGGCACAAGAAUCUUUGUUCACAAUAGUGUUUAUUGUUAGAUAAGUUUUUUUUCCUUCAGCUUCUCAAAUUUAUUCGAAAGGUACUGUUGGUUAAAUUGUAUAUAAUUGAGGAGCUUGUGAGUUUUUAGUUUUUAGUUUAUUUUUAGCACUAGUGCCUGCAUUUUGUUAUUUAAUGAAAAAGUAAUAUUUUGAUACGCGCCGAUUAAUUUUGAGCAGUAAUGAGAAACUACUUUAUGGGCUUUUAAAAUUUUGAAUAUUUGGUUAUUUUUUUUUACUGAAGUUGUUAUCAGUGAUUCUCUUUUAAAUGGUUUCCCUAUAAUAUUAUUCAAAAUUCAAAAUAGAAUUCCAUUUAUAAUGUUUGCCCAAGGAUAAAACAUACGUAAAUAUUUUACUUACAUUAAAUAUUAGAAUUUUUAAGUACUUUAUAUAAUCGUGACACAUGUUUGUCUGUCAAGAAAUAAUGAAUCAAACUAUUACAAAAAAAAUAUUCAGCAUCAAUAACUUAUCUUGUUUCACAAUACAUUAAAUAAACAUGUGGUGGGCAAAAGGAAAAUUUGGUGAAUGAUCUUGAUUCACUUUGCAAAUGUUUGAAGUAUGACAACCCCUAGUCUUAAUUCAUUUUGAAAUCUGAAAAUAAUUUUGCUUUGAUGCUGAUUUUGCUUCCCGUUCAUUCCAUUCCCCUACAAAAACAUGCAACAAAUUAGCAUUUUUUUUCCAGAGGAAUGUAGUUGUGAACGGGAAGCAAAAGGAGCAUCAAGGCAAGAUUGCCAAAGAUUUGAUUUUACAGGCGGAUGGAGUUGUGAAUGGGACGACGAAGGAGCAUCAAAAUGAGAUUACCAAAGAUUUGCGUAGACACUUCAUUCAAUUAGUUAUUUUUAUCUUUCUAUAAGUAAUGUUUCUUAGUUUCAUGUUCUUGAAAUUUAGAAGAGAGAAGAAAAGUUUUUCAAACCAGAGGAAAUACAGAGAAAGGAAGGGAAUUGUUUGACUUUUAAUAAACUUUUUUUUUUAAGUUAAAAAAUUAUUGAUACAUGUCAAAAAAUAAUUAAUUAGUAGUUCUGCAUUUU
RNAcentral lists this long non-coding RNA (24858 nucleotides) under Citrus sinensis (sweet orange). RNAcentral's name for it is "long non-coding RNA (CSIN_LNC004584)". The record is from RNAcentral. Lineage: Eukaryota; Viridiplantae; Streptophyta; Magnoliopsida; Sapindales; Rutaceae.